UACAGAGGUCCCAAGCGUUAAUCGGAAUUACUGGGCGUAAAGCGCACGUAGGUGGCUUGGCAAGUCGGGUGUGAAAUCCCCGGGCUCAACCUGGGAACUGCAUUCGAGACUGCCUUGCUAGAGUAUGGGAGAGGGAAGUGGAAUUUCCGGUGUAGCGGUGAAAUGCGUAGAUAUCGGAAGGAACAUCAGUGGCGAAGGCGACUUCCUGGACCAAUACUGACACUCAGGUGCGAAAGCGUGGGGAGCAAACAGG
This 253-nucleotide ribosomal RNA is filed under the name uncultured bacterium. RNAcentral describes it as "partial 16S ribosomal RNA". It matches the Rfam family "Bacterial small subunit ribosomal RNA", at positions 524 to 776 of the family's 1533-position model. The record is from RNAcentral.